Vigna radiata var. radiata (mung bean) is the source of this 2367-nucleotide RNA transcript. RefSeq lists it as uncharacterized. Lineage: Eukaryota; Viridiplantae; Streptophyta; Magnoliopsida; Fabales; Fabaceae. The transcript has 2 exons. The record is from RefSeq and is a predicted model, not a curated record.
UCCAUCAGACUACUACCUUCAGUCAUUCUUCCCAGUCGCUCCCAAAAUGGAGCAGUGAAAGUCCACACUUCUGACUCAGCCGUCCUCCACGGUACCAUGUGGCCCUCCUCCGCCGUCGGCCUCUGGGCGCUGUGCGUGGUGGUGGUUCUGGCGACUGCGUCCUCCGCCGCACCAAUCAUCGGCCUAGACUCUUUCCUCAGCCAGCAAUCCCGCAGCGACCCUCAUGCUUCGAACGACUCCUUCCUCUCCCUUCCUUCCUCCAUAAAAGGCCCUCUAUCCCUCCUCUCCGACAUCUCCCCCUCCUCCCUCCUCUCCCUCUCCCUCCCCAUCUCCCUCACUCUCCACCUCCUCGGCGACUUCCCCCCCGACGCCCACUCCCUCCUCUCCGACUUCCUCUCCGCCGCCGCCCCCACCGCCUUCCAAGUCAUCACCCCCUUCGACUCCCACCCCCUCUCCCACUCCCUCUUCCUCUCCCACACCCUCCACCUCGACAUAACCCCCUCCCGAUCCCUCUCCUCCCUCUCCUCUCUCCUCACCCAAACCCUAACCUCAAGCAUUCGCUCUACCCCUUCCUCUCUCCGUUCCCCUCUCCUCACCAUUCCCCACUCCACCGUCGACGACAUAAUCCAAGACCACUUCCGCAAGCAAAACCCCAACCCCAACCCUAACCACGUCCACCUCUACCUCCUCAACCUCCCUCCCCUAUCUGAUCCCAAACCCUACGCCUACACCUACUCCCCCGGAGAAUCCUCCCCCGCCUUCACCAAAUGCUCCGGCACCUUCUUCACCUCCGGAGAUCGCUACUUCUGGAUCGACCUCCGCGCCGGUCCGGUUGACUACGGCCCCGCAAUCUCCGGUGAUGGCGUCAUCCCCCGCGGCGAGUUUCACCCCCUCGCCGCCGUCCACGGCCGUCCCAAAUCAAGCAAGGCCUUCGCCGCUGACCUCGCCUCCCUCAUCUGGAGCGCCUACAAUGUCUUCCUCGCUCCCUCCCUCCGGAUACCUGUUCCGUUCGAGAAUUCCCUCACCGUCCAGUUCAUCCACAUCCAUAGCGAUUUCGAUAGCACGGGUAGCUCCGGCCUCGAUUGGAAAUUGAUCGAGAAGAGCCUUAGGUUUGAGACUGAUAACAGUAAUAAUGGAUUGUUGUUAGGAGAUCAGAGGUUGAGUUUUAAGAAUUAUGGAAUUAGGUUUUCAGAGUGUUCGAUUUGCUCGUUUGCUAUUGCGAGGUCGAUUAAUUCGUAUACCUCUAGGUUUUUGUUUGAUAAUUAUACUUUGAUUGUGAGUGAGUAUUUGGAUUCGAAACGGUUGCACCAGAUUUUGUUAGAUUCUGGUGAUGAGUUGAGGAAGCUGGCUGGCGUUCCGGAGGAGGAUUUUGGUAGGGUUGUGCCUGUGUAUGUUUUUGACUUGGAUUACACUUCGUUGUUGUUGCUCGACCGGUAUCAUCAGUCGGUGGCGUUUAAGGACAUGGUGAUUGCAGUUAGGACGAAGAACACGCAGACUGUGAGUGAUUAUAGUUGCAAUGGAAGGCAUGUGUUCACGCAGACCAGGGAGCUUGAGCGCCCGAUUGUUGGGUCGAUUCUGCAGAGCAUGUGGGGGGUGUCGCCGACGCAUUUGAAUUGGAGCCCCCAGCAUAAUGAGACUUUGGUGGAUUAUACAUGGAGUAUGGGGCAGACGCCAUUUGGACCAUUUUCUGAGAUGUUGAGUUUGUCCUUUGUGCAGAAGGAUGCUGCUAGGAGGAAUGUUCUGUUGACGUCGCUGAAUUACAGCAUAACCAGUGCGAUUGAUGUUCUUCAGAGCGUCGAGACUCAUGGUGGGGCAAAGAAUCUGCUGAAGCAGAAGCAGCAUGUGGAGUUUGUCCAGAGGUGGAACUUUUUCAAGUACAAGCUGAACAAGGCUGUUUCUGCGAUGUCGCAUUUGGAUUUUGAGAAGGCUCUGUUUUACUUGAGGUCUUCUGAUCAUGAUCUGUAUGCCAUUCAUUCCAUCGUCUAUCACGCCUCGCAGGAAAUAGAGGCCUCCCUUGAGUGCUUCGACGAUCCUCCCUUUCCCUGGGGUUCCGUGUCAGUUUCUGCGUCCGCUUUCCUUGCUCUCUCCUAUGUUUAUGCAAGACGGGACAAACUUUUCAGGAACAAAAGGAAGCAAUUUUGAUGCUCUUGCUAGAGGAGGACAGAACGGAAGUUUGUAUGAUUUUAAGAAAACACAAAAAACAGAACAUGUAUUCAUUGUACAAGAGAGGCAUGGUCCUUGCAGGAAUUGCAGCAUCCAACUCAUGAAGAAACAACAAGAGAUUAUACCAGACCAUGCUCUGGAGGAAAAUAACCUGUGGCAGGAGAAGAGAAGCUUCAUCCCUGUACAUGGCCUUCAUGAGAGGAA